RNAcentral lists this ribosomal RNA (450 nucleotides) under uncultured Glomeromycotina. RNAcentral describes it as "SSU rRNA". It matches the Rfam family "Eukaryotic small subunit ribosomal RNA", at positions 569 to 1023 of the family's 1831-position model. Lineage: Eukaryota; Fungi; Glomeromycota. The record is from RNAcentral.
AGCAGCCGCGGUAAUUCCAGCUCCAAUAGCGUAUAUUAAAGUUGUUGCAGUUAAAAAGCUCGUAGUUGAAUUUCGGGAUUAGUACGCUGGUCGUGCCUUCGGUAUGUACUGGUGUUACUGGUUCCUACCUUCUGACGAACCGUCAUGUCAUUAAUUUGGUGUGGCGGGAAAUCAGGACUGUUACUUUGAAAAAAUUAGAGUGUUUAAAGCAGGCUCGCGCUUGAAUACAUUAGCAUGGAAUAAUGAAAUAGGACGUUCGAUCCUAUUUUGUUGGUUUCUAGGAUUGACGUAAUGAUUAAUAGGGAUAGUUGGGGGCAUUAGUAUUCAAUUGUCAGAGGUGAAAUUCUUGGAUUUAUUGAAGACUAACUACUGCGAAAGCAUUUGCCAAGGAUGUUUUCAUUAAUCAAGAACGAAAGUUAGGGGAUCGAAGACGAUCAGAUACCGUCGUAG